GACGAACGCUGGCGGCGUGCCUAACACAUGCAAGUCGAGCGGGGAUUUAAGUGGAAGUUCUUCGGAAUGGAGAUUUAAAUUCUAGCGGCGGACGGGUGAGUAACGCGUGAACAAUCUGUCCCGGACAGGGGGAUAACACUUGGAAACAGGUGCUAAUACCGCAUAAGACCACGGCCUCGCAUGGGGCUGAGGUAAAAGGAGCAAUCCGGUUCGGGGUGAGUUCGCGUCCGAUUAGCUAGUUGGUGAGGUAACGGCCCACCAAGGCGACGAUCGGUAGCCGGCCUGAGAGGGUGAACGGCCAAAUUGGAACUGAGAGACGGUCCAAACUCCUACGGGAGGCAGCAGUGGGGAAUAUUGGGCAAUGGGCGAAAGCCUGACCCAGCAACGCCGCGUGAGGGAAGAAGGUUUUCGGAUUGUAAACCUCUGUCCUAUGGGACGAAGGAAGUGACGGUACCAUAGGAGGAAGCCCCGGCUAACUACGUG
This 483-nucleotide ribosomal RNA is filed under the name uncultured bacterium. Its description in RNAcentral is "partial 16S ribosomal RNA". It matches the Rfam family "Bacterial small subunit ribosomal RNA", at positions 28 to 507 of the family's 1533-position model. The record is from RNAcentral.